Non-coding RNA from Oryctolagus cuniculus (rabbit), 14444 nucleotides. The record is from RefSeq and is a predicted model, not a curated record. NCBI's taxonomy places the organism in Eukaryota, Metazoa, Chordata, Mammalia, Lagomorpha, Leporidae.
GAAAAAAAAAAAAAAAAAAAAAAAAAAAAAAAAGGAAAGAAAGGUGUUUAUCGCAAAGCGCCGAGCAAGGAGCUGGGCAGCUGUCACUUAAUCCCCGGGCUCCUUGAAGAGUCAGGGUGAAGUUUCUUAUACGUUGCAAUCGGGCUGGGAGGUCUGUGUUCAGCUGGUGUCUGAGUUCCUGGUUGGCCAGUGAUGCUUGUGACCUUCCUUUGACUGUUUGGUGACUGUUACAGUGGCCAACUGGGCUCAGCAAGUCUAGGAGGUUCCAUGGAAGUGGUAGUUACCUUCUGCACCAGACCUGGACUUGCCUUGCCUGAACCUAGAAAUCUACUGAACAACCCAUUCUGGACAGCACUGGAGAAGCAGAUGACUUCUUGACUCUGGUGAUUAGAACCUUGUUGGGGGGGGAGGGGGAUGGCGCAUAGUGGGUUAAGCCGCUGCCUGCAGUGCCGGCAUCCCAUAUGGGUGUUUGUUCGAGACCUGGCUGCUCCACUUCCAAUACAGCUCUCUGCUAUGGCCUGGGAAAGCAGUGGAAGAUGGCCCAAGUCCUUGGGCCCCUGCACCCACGUGGGAGACCCAGAGGAGGCUCCUGGCUCCUGGCUCCCAGCUGCGGUUGUUUGGCCAUUUGAGGAGUGAACCAGCAGAUGGAAGACCUCUCUCUCUCUCUCUCCCUCUGCUCUCUGUAACUCUGCUUUUCAAAUAAAUAAAUCUUAAAAAAAAAAAAAAAAAAAAAAAAAAAAAAAGAAUCUUGUUGGGCCAGCUACAUCACCCCCUCAAUUCUGUGAAUUCUUUUUGAUAAAGGACAGAUAAGGAGACAGAGGAGACACUGGGUCCUGCCUUUAAAUGAUAGGAGUUCAGUCUUCACUUGACUAGGGUCAGGGUUUAGGGGAGGACUCCACAGCAGGGAAAUGCCUUUCUCAUCACAUCAUAUCCCCCUUGUGGCUCAUCACUGGUCAUGCUAACUUUGAUCACGUGUUAACUGAUAUUUCCAGGCUUCUCCACUAUAAAGUUACUAUGUUUCCCCUUUUCAUACUCCAGCCAUUGGAAGUCGUAUCUAAAUCAUAAACCAUUUAAUUUGCAUUUCCCUGAUUAUUAAGAAGCCAAACACCUUUUCGUGAUAUGGGCCAUCCUGAGGGUGUUCCUCAUGGGAGAAUGACCUGUUCAUGUUUCUUGCCUAUAUUUCAAUUUGCUUGCUGGUCUUUAGUUCUUACUCAGUUCUAGAUAUUAUUUAUAUAUUAAUUGCAAUCCUCCCAAUGAAUCAUUUAGUAUUUUAAUUUUUUUAUAUCUUCGGCUAUGUACAAAUUUUUUAUUUCAGUUUACUCAUCGUUGCAUACUGUUUAUGCUUUUUUUUUUUUUUUUUUUUUUUUUGACAGGCAGAGUGGACAGUGAGAGAGAGAGAGACAGAGACAAAGGUCUUCCUUUGCUGUUGGUUCACCCUCCAAUGGCCGCUGCGGCCGGCGCACCACGCUGAUCCAAAGCUGGGAGCCAGGUGCUUCCUCCUGGUCUCCCAUGCGGGUGCAGGGCCCAAGCACUUGGGCCAUCCUCCACUGCAUUCCUGGGCCACAGCAGAGAGCUGGCCUGGCAGAGGGGCAACCGGGACAGAAUCCGGCACCCCGACCAGGACUAGAAUCCAGGGUGCCAGCGCCGCAGGUGGAGGAUUAGCCUAGUGAGCCGCGGCGCCAGCCUUUUAUGCUUUUUUAAAAAUUUUGUUUGGAACAUCCACAUUCCAUACCACAGUCCCUGGGUUUGCCUCUGACUCAGCUUUGUAUUAAUGUGACCCUGGGAGGUAGCAGGCGUAGCUCCAGCAGCUGGGUUCUUGCUAUUCGCAUGUUAGACCUAGACUGAGAUCUGGACUCCCAGCUUCUGCCUGGCCCAGCCCUGGCUGUUGUGAGCAUUUGGGGAGUGACCAGUGGAUAGAAGAUAUUCUUUCUCUCUCUCCGCCUUUCAAAUGAGUGAAAGUAAAUAACUUUGUUAAAAGGGGAGUCAGGCAUUUGGUAUAGUACUUAACAUCACUUGGGAUGCCCAAAUCCAUAUCAGAAUGCCUGAGUCUGAGUCCUGGCUCUGCUCCCAAUUCCAGUUUCCUAGUUUCCUGCUGAUGUGAACCCGAAGAGGCAGCAGAUGAUGGCGCAGUGACUUGGGUCCCUGCCACACACGUCGGAGACCUGAACUGAGUCCUGGCUCCAGUUUCAUCUCGGUCUGCCCGAGUGCUGCAGACAUUUGGGGAGUGAACCAGUGAGUGCAGGAUCUCUGUCUCCAUCUCUCUCUUUGUCUCUCUGCCUUUCAAAUAAAUAAAAUAGAAUUUUAAAUUAUUUCUUUCUUUAUUUUUUUUUUUUGACAGGCAGAGUGGACAGUGAGAGAGAGAGACAGAGACAAAGGUCUUCCUUUGCCGUUGGUUCACCCUCCAAUGGCCGCCGUGGCGGGCAUGCUGCAGCCGGCGCACCGCGCUGAUCCGAUGGCAGGAGCCAGGAGCCAGGUGCUUUUCCUGGUCUCCCAUGGGGUGCAGGGCCCAAGGACUUGGGCCAUCCUCCACUGCACUCCCUGGCCACAGCAGAGAGCUGGCCUGGAAGAGGGGCAACCGGGACAGAAUCCAGUGCCCCGACCGGGACUAGAACCCGGGGUGCCGGCGCCGCAAGGUGGAGGAUUAGCCUAGUGAGCUGCGGCGCCGGCUUAAAUUAUUUCUUUAUUUGGGAGGCAGAGAGACAGCUUUGAUCUGCUGUUUUACUUCCCGAAUGUCUGUCGAGACAGAGGUGGGGGUGGGAGGCAAAGAUGGCAAAUAUGGGAGUCAGGAACCCGAUUACUUGAUCCAUCACUGCUACCUCCCAGGGUCUGGGCCACAGGAAGCCAGGGGCAGGAGUGGGAGGCACGGUGACAUGGAUUGGGAGGCAUUCGGAUGUCUUGACCACCAGGUGAGACACCUGUUCCUCUUCGUUCUUUUGGAACCACCUUUUGCACACUCAGCCAUGACUCAGCAGUCCCGUCAUGACCACAAGUUCUCCUGGCUUCGCUUACAUAGCCUUUGCCUGCAAUGCUUUCUUCCAGACAAACUCCUUCUUAAUUUUACUGCCAUGAACCAAAGGAAACCUCCUCUGGGAAGCCCUCCCGGGGCCCCCAGGUGGAAUUAAUUGAUUGCUCUUUCCAUAGUGUUCACACAACUUUCCCAAAUCUUUAUUAAAGCACAUAGCAUGCUCUAUUGUAUUGCCCUGCGUGUGUUCGUGUGUGUGCGCGCACCACCCACCAUACUGCAGAGAGACCCCAGCUACUGUGUGUUCACCAGAACAUCAAGCAUAAUGCAGCCAAUGUUUAUUGAGUGAAUGAAUGAACGUAGUCUGAAUCAGUGGGUUUACAAACCUUUCCCCCGUGCCUUUAAUGAUUUUUAAGAAAAACUCUGCAUCUUUCCAUCCUCCAUGUCUGUGAGAAGCCCAAGAGGAAGCAAGUGGCACACUUGACGGAAGACAACUUAAGGAGAUUAUGUACAUAAGGGACUAAUUUCGUAUGUGGUCAGGAAGGCUGUAGGGAAAUCACAAAGAUCCUCCAGGAAGCUGGGACUAUCAGCAGCCAGGCUGCUACCACCCCAAGCCUCCAGGGACAAGCCCUCAGCCUUACGAGGGACAGGAAUUUGUUGUGAGCCUGACCAGAUCUCACAGGGCAGGAACCGGAGGACUAGAUGAUGACCUCACUCUCUUCACUCCCUUCCGCCUCCUGCCAGGAUCCCCAUCAGCUAAAUUCAUAUCCAAAAAUGGAGGGCACAGGAGACAUGGGUGGACCAGGGAUACAUGCACAUUUUUUCUAGAACAUUUGUAAGUUGACAACUGAAAUGUUUGUCUUGAUUCUAUCAUUGACAAGGGUAUACUUCUACCAUAUUAUAAAUAUUAAUAUUUUCAAUAAAACUAUGGGGCCACUCAACUGAAAGUAAGUACUAGAGUGAUUUGACAUACAUUAUAAUUCAUUUAAAGAAAAUACCAGGAGGCCGGCACUGUGGUGCAGCGAGUUAACACCCUGGCCUGAAGUGCUGGCAUCCCAUAUGGGCGCUGGUUCGAGACCCGGCUGCUCCACUUCUGAUCCAGCUCUCUGCUGUGGCCUGGGAUUGCAGUGGAAGAUGGCCCAAGUCCUUGGGCCCUGCACCCACGUGGGAGACCCAGGAGAAGCUCCUGGCUCCUGGCUUUGGAUCAGUGCAGCUCCGGCAGUUGCAGCCAACUGGGGAGUGAACCAUUGGAUGGAGGACCGCUCUCUCUCUCUCUCUCUCUCUGCCUCUCCUCUCUCUGUGUAACUCUUUCAAAUAAAUAAAUAAAUCUUAAAAAAAAAAUAAAGAAAAUACCAGAACAAACCCUACUGACUCUGGCAGAAAUGCUUAUGUGGGCAAGGAUGUAUUAAUUUUUUUCCAAAUUCUUGUUUCACACAAAGACAAGCAUUUUAAGUACAGACACAUAUAAGGGACACAGAGCAAUAAAGUUAAUUCAAAGGGGCCAGCGCUGUGAUGCAGUGGGUUAAGCCUCUGCCUGUGGCACCAGCAUCCCAUAUGGGCACCAGUUUGUGUCCUGGCUGCUCCACUUCCUAUCCAGAUCACUGUUAACAUGCCUGGGGAAGCAGCAGAAGAUGGCCUGUUUGGGCCCCUCACUCACCUGAGAGACCCAGAAGAAGCUCCUGGCUCCUGGCUUCAGAUCAGCCCAGCCUCAGCUGUUGUGGCCAUUUGGGGAGUGAACCAGCAGGUGGAAGACCUCUCUCUCUGUAACUGUGCCAGCUCUUCCACAUGGGGGCAGGGCCCCAAGCACUUGUGCCAUCCUCCACUGCUUUCCCAGGCACAUUAGCAAGGAGCUGGAUCAGAAGUGGAGCAACCAGGGCUUGAACUGGUGCCCAUAUGAGAUGCUGACAUCACAGGCGAUGACUUAACCCACUACACCACAAUGCUGCUCCCAGUGAUCCAUCUUCUGUAUCUGCUUCCUGUUGAUUAGGGUCACGGGCCCUGCACAUCCUGGAUACGUAUCUCAUGUAAUGGACACAUCCCCUAAGACAGAAGAUUUUCAACAGUUACCGACGAUGGUUGUGGUCCUUGCGUGGUCACCAUUCCUCCGAGAAGCUCUUGGACUCUGAAAGAAACAAACCUGUCAAUCAGAUGAGUAACUGGAAAAGGACAAAUCGUAGGCGGGAUCCCUCUUAGGAAAGGAAGAAUAUGUUCUUUUUUUAUUUUUAAGAUUUAUUUAUUUAUUUGAAAGGCAGAGUUACAGAGAGGCAGAGACAGAGAAAGAGAGAGGCCUUCUCUCCGCUGGUUCACGCCCCAAAUGGCCGCAACAGCUGGAGCUGCGCCUUUCCAAAGCCAGGUGUCAGGAGCUUCUUCUGGGUCUUCCACAUGGAUGCCGGGGCCCAAGGACCUGGGCCACCCUCUGCUGCUUUCCCAGGACAUAGCAGAGAGCUGGAUGGGAAGUGGAGCAGCCAGGACUCGAAUUCAUGCCCAUAUGGGUUGCUGGCACUGCAGGCGGCAGCUUUACCUGCCACGCCACAGCACUGGCCCCAAAAAUAUGUUGUUUUAUUUCCCGAACAGUGGGAGCUGAUAGACUUUCCCUGACUAGAUUAUAAAACCAUUUAGCCUAGAUAUAAAGCUUUGCAGUGUCUCUUUCAGUGAACAUACUGCUGUUAGGGGGGAUUUCAUUAAUUUCAUUAAUUACUGCACAUUCUCUACUUGUUCCACAAGUAGAGAAGUAGACCUCUCACAUGGGUGCAGGGGCCCAAGGACUUGGGCCAUCUUCUACUGCUUUCCCAGGCCAUAGCAGAGAGCUGGAUCAAAAGUGGAGCAGCCAAGACUUCAAUCGGCACCCUUAUGGGAUGCCAGCACUGCAGGUAGAGGCUUUACCUGCUACACCACAACACCGGCCCCAACUUGGGUUAUUUUAUAAACACAGGGGACAGGACCGAGUUACUUCCCUUAUGACAAUAUUUAGUCCUUUUCCUCCAAAUGCUGAAGCUCCUCUUUCCAUAUGGGUAGAGUCAGGUUUUUCCUUAAUAAUUUUCCCCCUUAGAGGCCAUUGGGAGCAUGACCCCAUGAUUUAAAAUCCACCACCCAUUGGCAUUUUUAGCAUAACCUCGUUACUGAGACCAUUUUGUCUUGGGCUCAGUAUAGUAAGGAUUUUUAGUAAUGUCUACAGGUCAAGGUAUCAAAAGCUAUUUCUAAAAUCCUCCCUGCAAUGGAUCCUUUUCGGCUAGUGCAUUUCCUUUGCUGACAUGGCUGUCUUCCUUCUGGUGAGCCCUGCAGUAUUCGACAGCCACUUCCAGAGGUUCCAGCACUGUCUGAAGAAGAUGUGCUAUCUCUCCCAUGUUUAGCAGGUGCGUUAUUUGCAGUCAGUAAGCCUCAUUCUCUCCAAACUGCUGCGUGUGCGUGUAACACAAGGGAAGCGUAUGUGGACUGUGUGUAAAUAGUAGCUCUUUGGCCUUUUCCUAGUCAAGGCAGUAAGCUGAGCCUUUUGAGCUGAGGUGUUGGAUGGCAAUGGCUGGACUUCUCCUGCCUGAGUGUGAUCCACUGUGGCAUAACCUGCCUUUCUAACUCUUUUCUCCAUAAACUAUUGCUAUCAGUAAACCAUUUGACGUCUGGAUCUUCCAGAGGCUCAUCUCAUAGCCAGUCCUGCUAUAAUACACCUGCCCUAUUGUAUCCACACAAUGGUGAGUUAACUCAUCAGUACCUUCAGAUGGCAAGGGAGUAGCUGGAUUGAGGACUUGGCAUGCCUUGAGAGUUACUUCAGGUGAGGCUAACAAAAGACGCUGAUAUUUUGUAAGUCAUUCUCCUGUUAGACUUUGAUACCCUUUAAUUUCCAGAACUCCUUGCACCUGGUGUGGAGUUUGAAUUUCAAGUGACUGGCUUAAAGCCAGCUUGGUGGUUUCCUCCACAAAAGCACUGUAGCAGUGACUGCCCUUAAGCAUACAGACUAUCCUGCAGCCACUAAGUCUUGUUGCUUAAAAAUGUGGGCCACUAGGAUCAGUGUUGUGAGUAAUGGGUGAAGCUGCUGCCCGCAGCACCAGCAUCCCAUAUGGGCGCCCGUUUGAGCCUUGGCUGCUCCACUUUCCAUCCAGCUUCCUGCUAAUGCUCCUGGGAAUGCAGCAGAAGAUGGCUCAAGUCCUGCAGCCCUUGAGUCCAUGUGGGAGACCCGGAUGAAGCUCUUGGCUCCUGGCUUUGGCCUGGCACAGCCCCAGAUGUUGCAGCCAUUUGGGGAGUGAACCAGCAUGUAGAAGACCUCUCUCUCUCUCUCUCUGUAUCUCCCUCUCUCUGUGUGUAACUCUGCCUUUCAAAUAAAUAAAAUAAAUCUUAAAAAAAAAAUAGAAAAGAAAAGCAGGCCACUGGUCAUGAAAGUGGACCCAAUUUCUUAGUACUACUCUCUGCUUCUCUGCUACAAACAGAGUGAGUGAACUGGUUGUUCAAGUUGAGAUUCCUAGUUCCAGAGCUUCUGUUAAUAGCUCUUUAAUCUUUUGCAAAGCUUCCUGAUGCUCUCCUGUCCAGCGAAGUGGGUCUGUGUUAGGACCCUUUAAAGCCUCAUGUAAGGUUUGCCUAUUAACCGCAAUCCUGGAAUCUUUAGUCUAUAAACCUUCCAUUCCCAGAAAUAUCCUUAGCUGUUUCUUUGUCCUGUGGAGCUCUGUACAUAAUAUAGCUUUCUUUCUCUUGAGUGACAGAGCAUGAUGUCCUAAGGUCAGAACACAUCCUAAAUAGUUUACCUCUUGUUUAGAAAUCUGGGGAAACUCUGUGUCCCUAAAAAGUUUAAGACCUGGCUGGUAUUUACAUUGGAGUCCUCCUUUUUUUUUUGGGGGGGGGGGGCUGCAAAUAAAAAUGCCAUCUACAUUUUACAGAAUUGCUCCAGUCUUUAAUUGGAGCUCUCUGAGUCCCUUUGCAAGAACAUUUCCAAACAUAUGAGGACGAUCUCUGGAGUCUUGAGGGAGAACUGCCCAAGUGUGCUGUGGAGUUACAGCUGAGGAUGGAUCAGUCCAUUCAGAGGCAAACAAGUGCUGGGAUUCUGGGUUUAACAGGAUGAAGAACAGAGCAUCUUUCAGGUCUUUUACUGUGUACCACGAGGUGCAUACAGGUAUCUGCGUUAAUAUGGUGUAAGGAUUUGGCACAAAAGGAUGAAGAGGAAUGAUUGCCUCAUUACUAAGUCCUGUGCUAUUCUAUAUUCCCCAUUCGGCUUUAAAACAGGCAAAACUGGAGUAUCACAGGGAGAAGGACAGGCAACCAGGACUCCGUGUUUGAGAAACUGAUCGGUCCAGGGUUGAAGUCCCCAUCAGCCUCUGGUUUUACGCAACAGUGGCACUGCUGAGGAAAUCUGGUAUGUCCUCUACGAGGACUGUGACACUGUGACAGCUCAGGCAUGUGUGGCCCAUCAUGGUAUCCCCCAUCCCAGAGCUGAGGAUCUACUCUAUCUUUUAUUCCAGUAGGAAAAUCAUCCAGGCUGGGGUCUGCCUCAGUGACUGUUAGCAUCACAGCAACAACUUCAAUGUAGGAGCAAUUAACAUGAGGGAAGAACCAGGGAUGAUAGCAAACCUCUUCCGAGCCAAGGAGUUGGGCAUUCAGACAUCACCAAAAGCAUCCUCUGUUUGAGCCACCAAAGGCAAAGUAAGCCUUUGAGAGUGAGGUUUGUCAUCGACUCCCAUAACACAGUUCUGGAAGAUGGGGUCAUCACAGAGUAAGCGGCUCCAGCAUGAAUCAGGAAACGAGCACACUUCGCGCCUGCAAUGUCAUAGUCACCUGGAACUCCGCACGUGAGAUGCUUGCUUCCUUAGGAGCCGCCUGAGUCCCCAGGCCCCUUUGGUCUUCAGACAGAUCCAUGAGUCCCUUCCUGUCUCCGGAGGAGGACACAGUCCCUCUUCCAGUGACCACUUUUCUUGCCUUGGGGGCACAGACCUGGGAUCCCUUGCAGAGGAACCCUCCUUAUGCCAUCGCCUGGCACAUCCUCCUGCGAUGGCGGAAUGCCCUGGACUGACUCUGAGGUUGCCAAGUGCUGAUUGCGGCCAUCGUUGUCCUGUAGGUCUGCUGCCUGGCCUGCCUCCCAUGCUGGAGCAAUGAGAGAGAGAAAGAGAGAGAGAGAGCUUCCAUCCGCUGGUUUACUCCCCAAAUAGCCACAAUGCCUGGAGCUGUGCCAAUCUGAAGCUAAGAGCCAGGAACCUCUUCCAGUCUCCCAGGUGGGUGCAGGCACACAAGCACUUGGGUCAUCUUCCCCUGCGUCCCCACAUUGGCAGUGCGCUAGAUAGGGAGUGGAGCAUCCAGGACUCAAACCAGCAGCUUCACCCACUACAUCACAGCACUGGCCCUGCAUGGCCAGCACUUGAGGCUUUCUUCUAACAUCUGGCACUGACUGAGGAAAUGAGUAUCACAUAGGACCUUCCUUCAGGAGAGUCAGGAUCUAUAUUUCAGAUCUCUUCAAUGCCUCUACCAGCCAUCCCUGGGACAAGACUGGGUUGUCAUCCUUCUGUGUUACCUCUCUGAUUUUAUAAUUUAUGGAUCUGAUAAUACAUUUCCUCAUCCCAGACAGAAGGUGUGAAGCCAUGCGGUCUCGAUGCUGUAAGUGCUCAUGUCCUUCCUGAUAAUUCCAAUCAGGGUCAGCUGCUGGGUCUGCUAAUGCCCCUGUAACUAGUACCCAGGCUGUUGAAUAACCAGAGAAUCCACAUGGGUUUGAGCCUUAGUGCAAACACAUUGUUUCUUUUCAGUGGUGCAACAAGUAGACAAAAAUAACAUGUAAGUUGGUUUGAGUUAAGACUAAAAGACUAAAGUGAAGGCCUAAAACUUCUCAGUGAAUCGAGUAGGGUCCUUUGAAAACCAUCCUAGCUUUUGCUUACAUUGGCUUAAGUCAAACUUGGUGAGAGGGACAAGCACUCUAACUGUCCCUACAUCUCCAUGUGCCACUUCUCUCAGAGAACAGAGCAUACCCACUUUGGGCUGAUGGGGACCUGCUGCAAGUAACUCUGGUUGGGCUGUUCUCUGGUAAGGAAGACAGGAAGGGUUGAAAGGUGGAGGUCGUGGGGUGAUAGAAGGUAAGGAAGAGUCAGGUUUUAGGGGUGCAGGGGAGGGCCUAGUGCCCUCUGAGGGUGGUCUUAGCAUGUAGACUUGCUCAGCCUGGAAUGGCUAAGGACCAGCUAGUAGUGGACCAGUCACUAUUAUCUAUCAAUUCUUCCCUUGUCUUUGAGAGAGCAGGUACAGAAUGUAGCCCGGUACUCCUUUCAUGAAUCAAGUGUGAUAUAAUGCCGUGAGUACACAAGAAACUUCUAGCCAUUUUUGCUGAUCCCUACAGAAGAGGCCAAGUCGUGAGAUGGUAUUAGAGUUCAGAGUCCCAUCUAUGAGCCAGGCCUCUUCAUUGCCCAGCUUGUAUUUUGGCCAGAUGGUAAUACAGGGGAAAAUUAAUUUUUUAUUUAGCUUAAGAGUCUCCCAGUUACUGAGCAUGCAUCCUAGGGGUGUAUCAGCGGGAAUGGAUGCGGGGUCGUCCACAGCUGAAAGUCUGGGAAGACAGAAGUUAGAAAGGGCUCAGGAUGAGCCCAGUUAGGCUUCAGCGUGUGACUCGAAUCCCUCGCAUGAGAGCUGGCAUCCAAGACCUCCUUGUGCAUCCCAAGCUGGGGUUCCCUGCUUCAGGGCUUCCUACAGGUUGACUGUAGAUCUAGGGUGUUCUCCCAAGCCUGAAACCACCGCCCAGCCCCCCAAAUACUUCGGUAGGCCUUUUUGCCACCACACAUAGGGUAUCUGGCCUCUAGCGGGCUCUAACGCUCCAAUAAACCAGAGAAGGCAUUUGACCCAGGCCCGAGAUGCAUUAUUCAGGGCCUUUACUUGAGCCUGAAAUAUUUUGUGGGGGAGCCAGAACUGCAGCUGCACCUGGGACUUGUAACCUCUCGGAGGCAUUGACAUCAGGGUGAGUCCAGCGUUGAGUUGAAAGAAAGAAAAAAAAAAAAAGCUGAAAAGCUGUAGCAUUUGCCAAUAAGGCAGUUACUGUGGGCCCAUGCCAUGAUGGGGGUAGGGAGGACUGUCCAUCUUCCACCAGCCAAAUGUAGAACCUCCACCAUACCUGGAGGUACCACCUCCUGAUGCCAGACAUGGUAACCAAGCAACAGAAUCAAUUUUUUCCUCCUCCCCCUACCAUCAGGCAAAGGAGUGGAGUUAACAAGCCGUGCACCAAUUUAGAAAAAUAGAGACCUGAGUUAGAACCUGAAAUGAAAUCUGGGUCUGGCACCUGGAGAUUGUCCAUGGUGGCUCCAUGCUAAGAGCUGACCUAUCCUGCAGUGGACACUAACUUCAGAAGCACAGUGUGGGGGCCGGUACUGUGACGUAGCAGGUAAAGCCACCGCCUGCAGUGCCGGCCCCCAUAUGGGAUGAGUUCCGGCUGCUCCACUUCCCAUCCAGCUCUCUGCUAUGGCCUGCAGAAGCAGAACAAGAUGGCCCAGAUGCUUGGGUUUCUGUACUCAUGAGAGAGACCCAGAGGAAGCUCCUGGCUGCUGACUUCAGUUUGGCCCAGCUCCAGCUGUAGAGGCCAUUUGGGGAGUGGACCAGAGGAUGGAAGACCUCUCUCUCUCUCUCUCUCUCUCUCUCUCAUCCUUUCUGUGACUCUGCCUUUCAAACGCAGCCAACCUGUGGGCACUUGUAUCAGUGGGUGGUCGCGAGCCCUGCGUGCUCUCUCCUAUAUGUCUGGAUUCCCUCAGUGUUAAGUCUGUAGCUGCUGCUCUGCAGCCAAUAGCAUUAAAAACAAAAGCACCAAGAUUUGCACUUUCAAAAGUUUGCCCCAGGCCGGCGCUGCGGGUCACUAGGCUAAUCCUCCGCCUUGCGGCGCCGGCACACCAGGUUCUAGUCCCGGUCGGGGCGCCGGAUUCUGUCCCGGUUGCCCCUCUUCCAGGCCAGCUCUCUGCUGUGGCCCGGGAGUGCAGUGGAGGAUGGCCCGAGUACUUGGGCCCUGCACCCCAUGGGAGAACAGGAUAAGUACCUGGCUCCUGCCAUCAGAUCUGCGCGGUGCACUGGCUGCAGCGUGCCAGCCGUGGUGGCCAUUGGAGGGUGAACCAAUGGCAAAGGAAGACCUUUCUCUCUGUCUCUCUCUCUCACUGUCCACUCUGCCUGUCAAAAAAAAAAAAAGAGUAAGCUAGAGACCAGCGCCGCAGCUCACUAGGCUAAUCCUCCACCUGUGGCGCCAGCACACUGGGUUCUAGUCCCGGUUGGGGCGCUGGAUUCUGUCCCAGUUGCCCCUCUUCCAGGCUAGCUCUCUGCUGUGGCCCAGGAGUGCAGUGGAGGAUGGCCCAAGUGCUUGGGCCCUGCACCUGCAUAGGAGACCAGGAGAAGCACCUGGCUCCUGGCUUUGGAUCAGCGCAGUGCGCUGGCCGCAGCGGCCAUUGGAGGGUGAACCAAUGGAAAAAGGAAGACCUUUCUCUCUGUCUCUCUCUGUCUCACUGUCUAACUCUGCCUGUCAAAAAAAAAAAAAAAAAAAAAAAAAAAAGAAGAAGGCUAUAUUCAGUAUCAGUGUUAUAGAUAGCAUCACUAAGAAACAUGUUUACAUACAGAAGGAGAUGAGAAUGGAUAGAAUUUUGUUAGAGUAAUGGCAAUUAUUUUAAUUCCUUAUGUAAUUGAGCCCCAUCCCUGUAGCCUUUGAUGUAGAUUUUAUCUGGCUCCUUCAUCUCCUUAGCUUGCAAUUCCUCUAAAGAUGAACUUAUUAAGUUAAGGGAGUGACACAGCCUCCCUUAUGGUUAACAUAGUUAAAAGUUCAAUGCUGGCCUCUAUCCUGAGACCUUUUACAAGAACUCACCAGCAGGUACCAGACUGUAGGACUUGACUUUCAUUUAUUAACUCUAUGGCUGGUAUUACCUCUAUGGCUGGUAUUGGGAUGCUGACCCCUAGCACUGACCAAAGGAAGACCACACACACUGUGGACCAAGCAGGGCCCACACAAGAGCUGAUCACUCACUGCUCAGCCCCAACUUUGAACUAUAAGACGCAGCGCCUCCACUCCCUCAGGGAAUUGGGCAUUAACUGUUCCUUGUUCUGUGCUGUGCCCGCUUUUACUCAUCGCUCUGCUAUCAGUGAUAGAUUUGCUGCACUCCAGUUUGGGGUUCUAUAGCAACUCCUUGUAUUUCCAGAGACGGCUGCUCGGAGGUUCUUGUCUUCAUGCAAGAAAGAGUUCAGACGUGAGACAGCAGGAACAGGAAGUUCUGUUCAGCCACCUCUGGUACCGAUUCCAGUGUCCUGCUGAGGAGCACCCUGGGAGGCAGCAGGUGCUGUAAACAUUUGGGGAGUGAACCAAUGGAUGGAGACACUUCUAUGUCUCUCUCUCUCCCUCUCUCUCUGCGUGUGUGUAUAUGUAUGUGUGUGUGUGUGUGUUUCUGUCAAAAGAAGAGAAAUAAAUUCUAAAAAUUAAGAAUAAUAUUUGUGCUGGAUACCCCAUGGAAAAUCUUCAUGAACCCUGGCCUGAAAGGGGGGUUAUCUGUGGAAGGUGGCCCCAGGACAUUAGGAGAGGUCCCUAAACUAAAGAUAGUAUCUGCUCCCCAGCUCCGCCCAGAUAUGCAAAUCACCCGCUUGGAAAAAGCUGUUGGGCCACAGGAAACUCACCCUAACUGUAAAGCACUGACAUUACAAGUAUGCCUCUUGGAUUGUUGUCCAUAUCGCCCCACUGCUCCACUGCAAGUAUGUUGUGCCAGUCACCCUAAAGAGAAACUACCGCUACAGGUAGAUCCCUCAGCUUACAGUCUGUCCCAUAACAGCGGCCAGUUCUUAUGUUCUAUUGAUUUUCUGUGUUCAACAAGUUUAGGGUUACUCUCUAGCUUCCUUGGUGAAUUAUUUCACCACCUGCAACACCAGCUCCAAUUAGUGACAAGGUAAUAUAUACACAGCAACUUUCACAGUGAGAGAAAGAGUCUGGAGUCUGAGAAACUCCCACUGCCCACCAUCUAGGGCCACCUCAGGGACCCUCUGGGCAGGUACUGGUCACUUGCCCUUAGAUAGCUGCCUCUUCCAUGCGGCCCAGUGCUCGGCCUGGUACCUGGAGGUCGGUAGUGCUUAGGAAAUGGUUGACUCAUUGGCUACAGGAGUGAGUGAACAGCAUUUGAAGGCCAGUUAGUACUUGACCUAGGAAAUGGGAGAAGGAGAGAAUGAAUAUUCCUGAGAGUUAAAAAUAAAAUUUGAAAUUUUAAAGGGGCCGGCUCUGUGGCAUAGCAGGUAAAGCUGUAGCCUGCAGUGUUAGCAUCCCAUAUGGGCUCCGGUUCAAGUCCUGGCUGCUCCGCUUCUGACCCAGCUCUCUGCUAUGACCUGAGAGGGCAGAAGAAGAUGGCCCAAGUGCUUGGGCCCCUGAACCCACAUGGGAAGGCUUGGAGGAAGCUCCUGGCUCCUGGCUUCAAAUCGGCACAGCUCCAGUCAUUGUAGCCAUCUGGAGAGUGAACCAGCAGAUGGAAGAUCUCUCUCUCUGUCUCUCUGUCUCUCUCUGUCUCUCUCUCUCUCUACCUCUCUCUCUCUGUGUAAC